GGUCAGUGAUGACUAGAAGAACUCUGAUGGCACUGACUCACUGCACAUCCAUUGCUUUCUUGGCCCCCAGCUGCUUUGGUUACCUUUCCCUUCAUUCCUCAGUAGUACUGUAGGGUGUUUCUGAAGCUGCUGACAUUAUGCGGAUGAAGUUAGCGCAUGUUNCCUACAGGUUAAGGAACUUGGCGCUGGCUGUGGUCCGACAAAACCUGGCAAGGGGCCAUCAGAUUUGGGAUGUGUCUAAACGUGCAUGAUCUUUAGUUUUCAAGCUGAGACC
This 274-nucleotide small nucleolar RNA is filed under the name Salvator merianae (Argentine black and white tegu). RNAcentral's name for it is "Small Cajal body specific RNA 6 (ENSSMRG00000022012.1)". The record is from RNAcentral. Lineage: Eukaryota; Metazoa; Chordata; Lepidosauria; Squamata; Teiidae.